GCGUCCGUAGCUCAGUUGGUUAGAGCACCACCUUGACAUGGUGGGGGUCGGUGGUUCGAGUCCACUCGGCCGAAACA
RNAcentral lists this transfer RNA (77 nucleotides) under Yersinia ruckeri. RNAcentral's name for it is "tRNA-Val". It matches the Rfam family "tRNA". From Rfam's summary of the family: Transfer RNA (tRNA) molecules are approximately 80 nucleotides in length. Their secondary structure includes four short double-helical elements and three loops (D, anti-codon, and T loops). The record is from RNAcentral. Lineage: Bacteria; Pseudomonadati; Pseudomonadota; Gammaproteobacteria; Enterobacterales; Yersiniaceae.